This 245-nucleotide ribosomal RNA is filed under the name uncultured bacterium. Its description in RNAcentral is "partial 16S ribosomal RNA". It matches the Rfam family "Bacterial small subunit ribosomal RNA", at positions 1257 to 1500 of the family's 1533-position model. The record is from RNAcentral.
GUGAGGUGGAGCGAAUCNCAAAACUCGGUCUCAGUUCAGAUUGCAGGCUGCAACUCGCCUGCAUGAAGUUGGAAUUGCUAGUAAUCGCGAAUCAGAAUGUCGCGGUGAAUACGUUCCCGGGCCUUGUACACACCGCCCGUCACACCAUGAGAGUUGGCAAUACCCAACGUACGUGAUCUAACCCGCAAGGGAGGAAGCGUCCUAAGGUAGGGUCAGCGAUUGGGGUGAAGUCGUAACAAGGUAAC